AUUGAACGCUGGCGGCAGGCCUAACACAUGCAAGUCGAGCGGAUGAAGGGAGCUUGCUCCUGGAUUCAGCGGCGGACGGGUGAGUAAUGCCUAGGAAUCUGCCUGGUAGUGGGGGAUAACGUCCGGAAACGGGCGCUAAUACCGCAUACGUCCUGAGGGAGAAAGUGGGGGAUCUUCGGACCUCACGCUAUCAGAUGAGCCUAGGUCGGAUUAGCUAGUUGGUGGGGUAAAGGCCUACCAAGGCGACGAUCCGUAACUGGUCUGAGAGGAUGAUCAGUCACACUGGAACUGAGACACGGUCCAGACUCCUACGGGAGGCAGCAGUGGGGAAUAUUGGACAAUGGGCGAAAGCCUGAUCCAGCCAUGCCGCGUGGGUGAAGAAGGUCUUCGGAUUGUAAAGCACUUUAAGUUGGGAGGAAGGGCAGUAAGUUAAUACCUUGCUGUUUUGACGUUACCAAAAGAAUAAGCACCGGCUACUUCGUG
RNAcentral lists this ribosomal RNA (483 nucleotides) under uncultured bacterium. RNAcentral's name for it is "partial 16S ribosomal RNA". It matches the Rfam family "Bacterial small subunit ribosomal RNA", at positions 30 to 507 of the family's 1533-position model. The record is from RNAcentral.